This 237-nucleotide long non-coding RNA is filed under the name Carica papaya (papaya). Its description in RNAcentral is "long non-coding RNA (CPAP_LNC012301)". The record is from RNAcentral. Lineage: Eukaryota; Viridiplantae; Streptophyta; Magnoliopsida; Brassicales; Caricaceae.
CAACAAAUUUUAUCUUUUAUCAGCCUACUAGUAUCCAUGGGGAUCCAUAGGGGUUCCCCGCUAUACAUGAACCAUGCACAUUAAUAACUUAAUUCUAAAGUCGUCCCCAUACCCCGUUCGGCAUGGACGCCAAAACUAUAAACCUCAAUACCCCGUCCGGUAUAAGGGUGAAAUGGGUCAUCCCCAUACCCCAUCUGGUAUGGGCACCAAAACACAUAAAGUCUCCAUACCCCGUUC